GGAGAUUCUCUGUGAUGUCGCUGAACUGAAGCAAGAGCUGCAAUGUCUGCGCAGGCGGCAUGAGGAAGUGGUCACCCACAAGUCCCUCGUCCAUCAGGAGAGAGAGCUUGUUGCAGCGGACGUGGAUGCGGUGACUGCCGAAUGCCUCGCGCUUAGGGACCAGGUGGCUGUCUACGAGGGGCGGCUCGCCGCCCUGCAGAAAGCGCAAGAAACGAGGGUUCAGAGCCUGGUGGCUCCAGCGUCUCCAGCUGCCGUAUCCCUGGUGACCCCGGAGUUUCUCAGCCCCGAUGUCACCCCUGUCAUCCAGGAGAUCAAGGAGUACUACUGUGAGCUGGCGGAGAGCCUUCAGUUUGAAUCAAAGGCAGCGGUUGCAACUGCACCGGAGGACCCCAGGAAGAAGGAGCACGGUCCGGCCGAGGUCUCCACAGCUAAGUUGAUGGAUGUUGCUAAGGUGACAGACCCCGAUGAACUGAGGAAACGGAUUGCAGAGCUGCGCAGGGAGCUGGCCGAGCUGGAGAAGUGCGGUGGGGAACUGGAGGACCAGAUCGAGUCAAGGAGAGCGGCGCACC
This 569-nucleotide long non-coding RNA is filed under the name Scleropages formosus (Asian bonytongue). RNAcentral's name for it is "lncRNA (ENSSFOG00015010469.2)". Lineage: Eukaryota; Metazoa; Chordata; Actinopteri; Osteoglossiformes; Osteoglossidae. The record is from RNAcentral.